This is a long non-coding RNA of Aquila chrysaetos chrysaetos, 5555 nucleotides long. RefSeq lists it as uncharacterized. Lineage: Eukaryota; Metazoa; Chordata; Aves; Accipitriformes; Accipitridae. The transcript is spliced from 2 exons. The record is from RefSeq and is a predicted model, not a curated record.
ACGGGGGGUUUAUUUCUAAAUCUUCAAAACAAUGAUCCUGUGUUUUGACUGAAUAUCAGGAAGGUGCUAUUUUAAGCUCCACACGACAAAGUUGACUUUUUAAGAAUAGGGCUUUUUUUAAUUUACCCUUAAAAUGGUAUCAUACAAAGAACAGUUAGGUUUUCUGUGGUGGCAUUUUACCUAUAGGGUUUGUUUAUGGAUCUCUUACAACCCUUUCUCAUGGCCUAAGAUGUAUGUUGGGGUCUGUCAUAACGUACGUUUCUCUGUGUAAGUUUUGUCCAGCAGCUUCUGUUAUCUUGGACACUGAUUUAACAGUGGGUUUUGUUUGUUUGUUUUUUGGGUUUUUUUUCUCAUCAGUUCUAGUGCCUUCCAUUUACUCCCAGGUUUAAUGAAUUUCACUCAUGUUCCUGUGGAAUAUUGCUGGAACACUUGUGAAGAGAGCUAAAAAAAAGCAAAAAGUGGGCAAUAUUGGGUAGAACAAAGCUUCCCAGAAUUUACUAGCUGUGUCAGGUGAGAACAUCACCAUUGCUUAAUUUAAAUGUGAAGAAGAGUAUUACCUCCUUUUUACUUCCCCAGUGAUGCAUUGUUGGGGUAUACAGACACAGAUGAGUUCGUUUUUGAAACAAGCAUCUUAAGGCCCGGGUUCAUAAUGUAUUCCAAUACACAAUGGUUCUUCAUCUUGUCUGUUUUUAUUUUUUACCAUUAUUUUCCACUUUAGGAAGCAAUAGGAGGAGAGCUUGAGAGCUGUACUUGAACACAGAUGGUAUGAUGGCACAGCAUUUGCUGCAACUUGCUUCGAGUUAUGUUACAGAGUUCAUUUUUAACAUAAGCUUUAAACCUUUAUUUUGUAGAAAAGUCUCAUGGAAAUGGCAACCACCCAAAUAUAGACUAUACGUUUUCAGAGGUACUUGAAUAUUUUGUGGUAACAUGAUGAAAAAUUAACUGAUACAGGAAUAAUUAUAAUCCUUAAAAGUGCAUAAAGAAUCCAGACUGGAGCAUACGUUAGAUGAAACACAAGAAGCAAGAUGGAUGGUGCCGAAACAGGCGUGCUUUGCCCUGGGAUGCGUGAAGGCGGUUGGCCACCUGCUCCGCUGGGAGCACCGACUGAACGUGGGUCCUCCAGAUCUGGAAAUAUGAGUUUGAGUGAAUUUAAUAUGGUUUUGAUAAAUUAACUGUGCAUCGGUCUUAUCCCGAUCCUCCAGACAGGACUGAAUUACACCCUGAAUUCCUGAAUCUGGAGUAAUUCUGUUGGUUUAUAGAUGAAAACAGUUCUUUUCUUUUUGCAAACAAUAGCCAUUGGGAUUUGGGAACUUGGAACUCUUUUUAGCUUGUAUUCAUUUCCGUUAUGUGUAACUGCUCUUGAGUGAGCAAGAUAAUACUUAAAAAGUGUUACCAGAAGAGACAGGAUGUCUUGAAGCAAACUUGAGACUAACAUCAUUCUAUUAUACCUACUUUGAUUUAUUUUUGGACUUAUUUUUUAUUUAUUUGCGCUUACUAGCUAAUGUUAUUUUAAUGUUGAUUGUCAGGAAAAAGGCUCCAUAAUGUCUUGUUUCAAAUCAGUUCUGCCACUCAGUUUCAGAGCUUCUUGUCUUGUAUGCAUUUAUCCUCAGCUUGUCUCUUAUUUUUUAAAUGAUAAAUUAUUUAUUUUCUUUACAUUCUUUAGAAAUAUACCAUAGCUGUUAGAGUUGAAGGCAUCAGAAAAAAUGCUAAGGUGCAAGUUACCGGUCUCAUAGGGUACACCCCGAGGAUUUCUGGAGGACCUCAAAAAUGAAAUAGCGUAGCUGCUAUAGGAUACACGCAAACUCUCACUGUAAACAUUUGCCACUAAAAGGAUCAAUGGGUAAUGUAUUGAACCUGUAUUUUUACAAGGUAAUCCAAGGAAUUAUUCAUACAGUGAAUUGUGUAUUAGAUGAUCAUCUGAAGUUAAAAAUGGAAUGAUACAGCACCUCAAAGGUCAUUUUAUGAGGUGGUCUAAGAAAUUACAAUGUCUAGAGUAGAAAAAUCUCAUUAAUCUCUUACUGGUAUCUGAGUGGUUCAGUAGAGUUAUGGGUGAAGGAGAACUUACUAAUAUAUUUUAUUUAGAUUUUCACAAGCCCUUGGUAAAAUUAUCACAGCAGGUUACUAAAGAAAUUCAAGAUGUAGCUUUACAAGGGCAACUUAGGCCCCUAAAUACGUAUUUAAGUAACUUUAUUCAAGUUAUAGGCAUUAAUAGCAUUUCUAAUCUUGAAGGUUUGCUUAAUGCAGUAGGAACUUAAAUUUUCCACUGGUAAAAUCACUUGGUUCCCUUGUUUUUGCUGCCGAGCAUGUGCAAAACCAUCUUGACAGCUCCAGGCUGCUAAGCCCCGAAGAAAUACAUAAAAUAAGCAUUUUCUUGCAAGUUUCCUCACAACUGCCUGUCAACUUCAGUUUUGCAUCCCAGCAACCAAUUUCAACUCAUUUUAUUUUAUACUGACUACAUUUAUCACAAUUUAUUUUAUAUUCUUCAUAGGAUAUUGAAAGAGGCUCUCAGGGCCGCAGAUUGCUGCUGAAAUGUUAGACAACAUUUGGCAUGAGCAGGAUCAGAAAUUAAAAACUGGCAUUUUUUAGCCUGGUUGCCUUUGAAAUGAGGUUUAUGAGAUUGUGUUGUUUAUCUCUCUGUACAUUCAGCAAUUCCCCUUAAAAACUUUGGGACCCAAUUUCAACCAAAUUUGAAAGAUGAGCUGAAAUCUCAAGAUAAAUAAGGUCUGUGAAAAACUGCAGCUGUACAGAGGACAAAGCGCGUAAUUAAAUGCCUGCGCUGUGGAAAAGGCAGGUGGAAGCCAGCCUUUAUGUAGUGGUUGAGAGCCGCCAGCCUGCCAGAGCAUGCUCAAAGAUUUUUGAUUGAGCAUAGUGUGUGCCCUAUAUGGAGAGUGGGUUUCAGAAGAGAACCUGAGGUUGUUAUGGCAGAGAAGAUUCAGGAAACAAAGAACACAGGUCCAUGAAAACAAUCAAUCAAAUGCCACAUUGUUUGUUUUAUUUCUUGCAGAGCAACUCGAUUCUCUUGCCCUGCCUCUUCUUCCUCCUUCCCACCCUGAACACCUUUUUUUCUCCCAGAAUCUCCAGACUCUGUUACUAUCUUUGUAUUCCCCUUGCUCUCCUGGCUCAGCAUCAAUUCCUGUAACUUAACUGGCCUAAGAAUUCUGUCUGAUUUAGUAAUGAGGUCUCAGAUAUACCCUGGUGGGAGCCAGUUAAUGGCUGUUUCUUCAUCCAGAAAGUUCAACCAGACUGUUAGGAUGUGCUCAUGUCAAUAGCUGUAACAAAACUAAUUGGUACUGACCUCUUUCCAUCCUGACUGGAGAAUGUCCUGCUUUGAUAUUUAUACUCAUCAAACAUUUGUGGAUUCUUAUUGUGCCCCCCUGCUGGCUACCUGACAUUUUAGACCCAGCUGUUGUGUGGUGGGACUAGUGAAUCUAGUUUAAAAGAAGCUAAGUAGAGUUAAGCAAAUUAUUAUUUUUUAAAUCUAUACACACAUUUCAAAUAGUAUAUCCAACCCAACAUUGCAAUGUUUUUAAAAUAUUCCUAUAAGGUAUGGAGGCCUACAGCUGUCCCACAGGGUCUGUGUUAGUCUAAAAACCUCUGUGAGUGUUGUAUAUUUUACAAAUUAGCUUUGCUGGAGAAACAAAGAAAAAUGCCUUGUCUCCUUUUUGUCUUUUCUGUCAGGUUCUUCCUCAAGAUGGAUACCUUAUCUAGCAUGGAAAGUUUUUGUAGUUCUCUGGUCAAUUCUCUAAACAGGACACAAUCGAGCUGAUGUCAAAACAAAGAAUACACACAUGCAUAGUACUGGGCUGUGAUAAAAGCUGCUCUUCUGCACAACUUCCCAGCUUGUGAAACCUGUCUGGUUUUGCAUAAUAGAUAAGCCCCAGGAAGUAUAAAAUUAGUGGGAGUGCUUGCAGUGUGGCCAAGUUACAGUUUUACAGUCGUUUAAAGGUCAGCAGCAAAUUGCCAUCUACACCCAGUCCUGCAGGAUAAGGCUCUGUAGGGACAAAGCUCUCACGCAAAUAUCCACAUGAUUUGCCUGUGGCCGUUUGGAAAACCUGAGGCUGAAGAAGGGGCUGAGAUCCCACCCUGUCACUUGCAAGCCAGGGUCAGAGUUACCAAGCCAAUCUUUCUUGUCAUUUAUCUAGGGCAGACUUUGAAACCUAAGCCUCGAGGAAAGAUUUUUGAAGCAAAAACUCCAGGCCUAAGGUCUCACAGGGCAGGUACUCUUUUUUCCCCAACUUCUGGAUUAUCUUUUUCUUAUUACUUAACUGAAAAUGAGAUUUUGAUGAGAAGAAAAUUAAACUGCUGAAGGAGACUACCAAGUUUAUGGAUGUUAUUAUCUCAUAAAUAGUUAAUGUCUCACUUCUCAGUCAAACUUUUUUUUUUUUUUUCCAAACUUGGCAAGCUUCUGGUGAGGAUAAUAAAGAGUGCAUCUAGGCUGUAACCAAAUGAACUCUAUGAUACGAUAAGCAGAAUGCAAGCAGCAAUAAUAGCAGUAGACUAACUUCAGAAUGCUGUGAGUUCCUCUGAACUUCACCAACAGAUUUGUUGAUCAGCUUCAGAUUCUACAAUGUCAUUUUUCUUCUUCAACAGAAAAACUGUCACCAGAGCUGGUUACAGCUCACGCCUGCAAAUGCAAAAAGUUGUAUGGAGACAACAGUGCACAGGAAGACUUGCUAGGCCAUGGAUUAACAUGUGUACCAGUGCCAAUUUUCAGAGAAGAUAGUUUGCACAAGGAAAGCUCAGAACUCAAAAGCAGAGAUUGGGUGCUCUUCUAAGAAUAGGUGGAGGGACAAGAUUUGGGGAAAAAAACUAAACCCAAAAAACCUGCUGUAGAAAAUGCUCCACCUGCUGUGAAAACAAAAAGGAAGGAGGGUAAUAAAAGAAGUAUGAAGCAUAUCUAGUUUCAGAAUUUGGCUGAAGAAAAAGGAGCAGUAAAAAUCACUACUACAGAUGAAAUCCAUAGAUAGUCUUAAAGGAUGGAAAGAUCUGUACUGCAUCCUGCAACUAUCGGAAAGCACAUGGGGAGUGUGUGGGGUGUUAAUAGGCAGAUUAUAAGACAAGGUGGAGAUUCAGACAUGUCCAGCUAGAGCUAUGGUUGAUGUUCAGGUAGGAAGUUCUUGAAAUGUCCUGAACUCCACAGAGCAUGCUUAAAUCCAUGAGUCAGUGUGGUAUAUGCUACAGCUACUCAGCACUGACCAGGAAGCUCUCCGAACUAUUUGUUUGCUCCAUCUCCUACAGAUAGCUGGUGAUGAGGCAAACACAGUUAGGAGUUCUCUUUCUGAUGAAACUUUUAAGCUCAUGGCGCACAGGCACUUGAUCUGCAAUACCAGACGUAUCCCUCAAACAGCUGGACGCAAACGCAGGAAGGACUUUUCCUGCAGGUUCUCGGGUAACGAGCUAGGCUGACAUACCUGUACCUCAGCUGUAAAUGAAGCCUCUCCUGGCACUUGUGCAGCGUGCCACUCCCGGGAAGAUUUGGGAGUUUGCUAGGCAAGUCCUGCCUCUGGCUCACGCGGUCCCUGGCACCACUCCGAUACCCACAGAACAAUUUAUAU